RNAcentral lists this unclassified non-coding RNA (365 nucleotides) under Hevea brasiliensis (rubber tree). The record is from RNAcentral. Lineage: Eukaryota; Viridiplantae; Streptophyta; Magnoliopsida; Malpighiales; Euphorbiaceae.
UCAUCUUCAUCUUUAUGGUGCUGAAAAUAUGGAGAGGUUCAAAAACGAAUCACUCCCCUCCAAAUCUACCCCCAGGACCAAGCAAGCUUCCUAUUAUUGGAAACAUGCAUCAGCUUGUUGGCCCUCCACCUCAUCAUCGCCUAAGAGACUUGGCCAAGGAAUAUGGAAGUAUUAUGCAUCUUCAGCUUGGUGAAGUUUCCAAUAUAGUCAUUUCAUCACCAGAAGCUGCAAAAGAAGUGAUGAAGACUCAUGAUAUUGUGUUUGCUCAGAGGCCUUUUAUCUUAGCUGCUAGCAUUAUAUCUUAUAACUACUCAGACAUUGCAUUUGCACCAUAUUCAGAUUACUGGAGACAGCUGCGAAAAAUU